GGGAGGCAAUGAAGUGUGGACGCCAGUCUGCACGGAGCCAUCCUUGAAAUACCACCCUUUAACGUUUGAUGUUCUAACCCGGGUCCAUAAUCUGGAUCGGGGACCGUGUCUGGUGGGUAGUUUGACUGGGGCGGUCUCCUCCCAAAGAGUAACGGAGGAGCACGAAGGUUGGCUAAGCAUGGUCGGACAUCAUGCGGUUAGUGCAAAGGCAUAAGCCAGCUUGACUGCGAGAGUGACGGCUCGAGCAGGUACGAAAGUAGGUCUUAGUGAUCCGGUGGUUCUGAAUGGAAGGGCCAUCGCUCAACGGAUAAAAGGUACUCCGGGGAUAACAGGCUGAUACCGCCCAAGAGUUCAUAUCGACGGCGGUGUUUGGCACCUCGAUGUCGGCUCAUCACAUCCUGGGGCUGAAGUAGGUCCCAAGGGUAUGGCUGUUCGCCAUUUAAAGUGGUACGCGAGCUGGGUUUAGAACGUCGUGAGACAGUUCGGUCCCUAUCUGCCGUGGGCGCUGGAAGAUUGAGAGGGGUUGCUCCUAGUACGAGAGGACCGGAGUGAACGCACCACUGGUGUACGGGUUGUGAUGCCAAUUGCAUUGCCCGGUAGCUAAGUGCGGAAGAGAUAACCGCUGAAAGCAUCUAAGCGGGAAACUUGC
RNAcentral lists this ribosomal RNA (649 nucleotides) under Morganella morganii. RNAcentral's name for it is "partial 23S ribosomal RNA". It matches the Rfam family "Bacterial large subunit ribosomal RNA", at positions 2149 to 2797 of the family's 2925-position model. Lineage: Bacteria; Pseudomonadati; Pseudomonadota; Gammaproteobacteria; Enterobacterales; Morganellaceae. The record is from RNAcentral.